This 1521-nucleotide ribosomal RNA is filed under the name Salmonella enterica subsp. enterica serovar Derby. RNAcentral describes it as "bacterial SSU rRNA". It matches the Rfam family "Bacterial small subunit ribosomal RNA". RNAcentral also lists the same sequence under 1 other name. The record is from RNAcentral. Lineage: Bacteria; Pseudomonadati; Pseudomonadota; Gammaproteobacteria; Enterobacterales; Enterobacteriaceae.
AGAGUUUGAUCAUGGCUCAGAUUGAACGCUGGCGGCAGGCCUAACACAUGCAAGUCGAACGGUAACAGGAAGCAGCUUGCUGCUUUGCUGACGAGUGGCGGACGGGUGAGUAAUGUCUGGGAAACUGCCUGAUGGAGGGGGAUAACUACUGGAAACGGUGGCUAAUACCGCAUAACGUCGCAAGACCAAAGAGGGGGACCUUCGGGCCUCUUGCCAUCAGAUGUGCCCAGAUGGGAUUAGCUUGUUGGUGAGGUAACGGCUCACCAAGGCGACGAUCCCUAGCUGGUCUGAGAGGAUGACCAGCCACACUGGAACUGAGACACGGUCCAGACUCCUACGGGAGGCAGCAGUGGGGAAUAUUGCACAAUGGGCGCAAGCCUGAUGCAGCCAUGCCGCGUGUAUGAAGAAGGCCUUCGGGUUGUAAAGUACUUUCAGCGGGGAGGAAGGUGUUGUGGUUAAUAACCGCAGCAAUUGACGUUACCCGCAGAAGAAGCACCGGCUAACUCCGUGCCAGCAGCCGCGGUAAUACGGAGGGUGCAAGCGUUAAUCGGAAUUACUGGGCGUAAAGCGCACGCAGGCGGUCUGUCAAGUCGGAUGUGAAAUCCCCGGGCUCAACCUGGGAACUGCAUUCGAAACUGGCAGGCUUGAGUCUUGUAGAGGGGGGUAGAAUUCCAGGUGUAGCGGUGAAAUGCGUAGAGAUCUGGAGGAAUACCGGUGGCGAAGGCGGCCCCCUGGACAAAGACUGACGCUCAGGUGCGAAAGCGUGGGGAGCAAACAGGAUUAGAUACCCUGGUAGUCCACGCCGUAAACGAUGUCUACUUGGAGGUUGUGCCCUUGAGGCGUGGCUUCCGGAGCUAACGCGUUAAGUAGACCGCCUGGGGAGUACGGCCGCAAGGUUAAAACUCAAAUGAAUUGACGGGGGCCCGCACAAGCGGUGGAGCAUGUGGUUUAAUUCGAUGCAACGCGAAGAACCUUACCUGGUCUUGACAUCCACGGAAGUUUUCAGAGAUGGAAUGUGCCUUCGGGAACCGUGAGACAGGUGCUGCAUGGCUGUCGUCAGCUCGUGUUGUGAAAUGUUGGGUUAAGUCCCGCAACGAGCGCAACCCUUAUCCUUUGUUGCCAGCGGUUAGGCCGGGAACUCAAAGGAGACUGCCAGUGAUAAACUGGAGGAAGGUGGGGAUGACGUCAAGUCAUCAUGGCCCUUACGACCAGGGCUACACACGUGCUACAAUGGCGCAUACAAAGAGAAGCGACCUCGCGAGAGCAAGCGGACCUCAUAAAGUGCGUCGUAGUCCGGAUUGGAGUCUGCAACUCGACUCCAUGAAGUCGGAAUCGCUAGUAAUCGUGGAUCAGAAUGCCACGGUGAAUACGUUCCCGGGCCUUGUACACACCGCCCGUCACACCAUGGGAGUGGGUUGCAAAAGAAGUAGGUAGCUUAACCUUCGGGAGGGCGCUUACCACUUUGUGAUUCAUGACUGGGGUGAAGUCGUAACAAGGUAACCGUAGGGGAACCUGCGGUUG